UGAUCCCACACCUAGGACACCUCCAGUUCAUACCCAAAUUGAUCCCACUCCUAGGCCGGCGCCUCCAGUUCAUACCCAAGUUGAUCCCACACCUAGGACACCUCCAGUUCAUACCCAAAUGAAUCUUCCACCAACUUAUGCUGAAUGAGUAAACUUAUUUUUGAAUAGAUUCCACACCAAGACCACCGGCGCCUCCUCCAGUUUAUACCCAGUGUACCAAUUAGUUUAAUGAGAAAUGAGAUUUUUUUUAGAAUGAAUCAUCCACCAACUUAUGCUGAAAUUGAUUCCACACCAAGACCACCGGCGCCUCCUCCAGUUUAUACCCAGUGUACCAAUUAGUUCAAUGAGAAAUGAGAUUUUUUUUAGAAUGAAUCAUCCACCAACUUAUGCUGAGUGAGUAAACUUAUUUUUUAUGAAAAAUGAGAUUUUCAAUGUGAUUUUUUUUUUUUAGAAUUGAUCCUACGCCUCAGCCUCAGCGUCUAACGAUGGGCGAGCG
Molecule: long non-coding RNA, 496 nt
Organism: Coccinella septempunctata (seven-spotted ladybird)
Lineage: Eukaryota; Metazoa; Arthropoda; Insecta; Coleoptera; Coccinellidae
Exons: 5
Source: RefSeq, a predicted model, not a curated record